This 774-nucleotide ribosomal RNA is filed under the name uncultured Neocallimastigales. RNAcentral describes it as "partial large subunit ribosomal RNA". It matches the Rfam family "Eukaryotic large subunit ribosomal RNA", at positions 26 to 611 of the family's 3401-position model. Lineage: Eukaryota; Fungi; Neocallimastigomycota; Neocallimastigomycetes; Neocallimastigales. The record is from RNAcentral.
CGCAUCUGUGCAUGCAGCAUAUCAAUAAGCGGAGGAAAAGAAACUAACAAGGAUUCCCCUAGUAACGGCGAGUGAAGCGGGAAGAGCUCAAAUUUGAAAUCUUAAAGGGUUUCCCUUUACGAAUUGUAGUUUAAAGAAGUGUUUUCUGUUGAGGUUUUGGUAAAAGUUCUUUGGAAUAGGACAUCAUAGAGGGUGAGAAUCCCGUAUUUGACCUUUACUUUCAACUUUGUGAUACACUUUCAAAGAGUCGGAUUGUUUGGGAAUGCAGUCCAAAAUGGGUGGUAAACUUCAUCUAAAGCUAAAUAUUGGCGAGAGACCGAUAGCGAACAAGUACCGUGAGGGAAAGAUGAAAAGAACUUUGAAAAGAGAGUUAAACAGUACGUGAAAUUGUCAAAAGGGAAGCGUUUGACACCAGUGUUGUUUUUCUGAAAAUCAAUUAAAGAACUGUUUAUGCUAAGUUGUUUAGACUUUAUCAGCUAACUGUUUAGUUUUGAGCUUUUCUUUAAUGCACUUUUCAGUUAACAAGUCAACAUCAAUUUCUUUUGCUGUAAAAAAGCUUGAGGAAGGUGGCUUGAGAUUCGUCUUAAGUGUUUAUAGCCUCUUGCCUAUGCAGUCGGAGAGAUUGAGGUCUGCAGCGUAGAUCCUUCGGGGCUAAAUGCAUUUGUGCUAAGUUAUAGCAUUUUAUAGACAACUUGUUGACUAUGAUUUGUCUUGUAGCUUACUCGCUUAUGUUAUUUUACCUACGCUUAGGAUGUUGAACGCGCACAGAGUCUC